GACCUCGGAUCAGGUAGGAAUACCCGCUGAACUUAAGCAUAUCAAUAAGCGGAGGAAAAGAAACCAACAGGGAUUACCCUAGUAACGGCGAGUGAAGCGGUAACAGCUCAAAUUUGAAAUCUGGCCUUCACGGGUCCGAGUUGUAAUUUGUAGAGGAUGUUUCGGACAAGGCUGUGGUUUAAGUUUCUUGGAACAGAACGUCAUAGAGGGUGAGAGUCCCGUCUAGAACCGAAAGCCGCGUCCAUGUGAAACUCCUUCGACGAGUCGAGUUGUUUGGGAAUGCAGCUCAAAAUGGGUGGUAAAUUUCAUCUAAAGCUAAAUAUUGGCCAGAGACCGAUAGCGCACAAGUAGAGUGAUCGAAAGAUGAAAAGCACUUUGAAAAGAGAGUUAAACAGUAUGUGAAAUUGUUGAAAGGGAAGCGCUUGCAACCAG
This 432-nucleotide ribosomal RNA is filed under the name uncultured fungus. RNAcentral describes it as "eukaryotic LSU rRNA". It matches the Rfam family "Eukaryotic large subunit ribosomal RNA", at positions 1 to 432 of the family's 3401-position model. Lineage: Eukaryota; Fungi. The record is from RNAcentral.